UCUGGUUCACCAAAUGCUACUCCCUUCCAUUAUGCCAUUAAUCCAUUAUGAUAUCGUUCACAUAAAUGAGCUAAGGAAGCUUUAUGGAAAGGUUCGCUUCAAUCGAUACAAUCCAAGUGCAAGUCUCAGGAAGCAAAAUAUUGAUAUAGCACAUGUGAAUAUAGAUUUGUCUUUUUUGGGUAGCAUGUUGAUAUAAUACGAAAACGUGUAGAUACCAACAAAAUACAAAAUAAAGG
RNAcentral lists this long non-coding RNA (236 nucleotides) under Glycine max (soybean). RNAcentral's name for it is "long non-coding RNA (GMAX_LNC001100)". Lineage: Eukaryota; Viridiplantae; Streptophyta; Magnoliopsida; Fabales; Fabaceae. The record is from RNAcentral.